GCUUAACACAUGCAAGUCGAACGAGAUCUUCGGAUUUAGUGGCAGACGGGUGAGUAACGCGUGGGAACCUGCCCAGUAGUAGAGAAUAACUUGAGGAAACUUAAGCUAAUACUUUAUACACCCUUCGGGGAAAAGCUUUAUGCGCUAUUGGAUGGGCCCGCGUUAGAUUAGUUUGUUGGUGAGGUAAUGGCUCACCAAGACCACGAUCUAUAGCUGGUCUGAGAGGAUGAUCAGCCACACUGGGACUGAGACACGGCCCAGACUCCUACGGGAGGCAGCAGUGGGGAAUAUUGGACAAUGGGGGCAACCCUGAUCCAGCGAUGCCGCGUGAGUGAUGAAGGCCUUCGGGUUGUAAAACUCUUUCGUCAGGGAAGAUAAUGACGGUACCUGAAGAAGAAGAUCCGGCUAACUCCGUGCCAGCAGCCGCGGUAAUACGGAGGGAUCUAGCGUUAUUCGGAAUUACUGGGCGUAAAGCGAGCGUAGGCGGAUUUGUAAGUUGGAGGUGAAAUCCCAGAGCUUAACUCUGGAACUGCCUUCAAAACUACAUUUCUUGAGUUUGGUAGAGGAGAGUGGAAUUCCUAGUGUAGAGGUGAAAUUCGUAGAUAUUAGGAGGAACACCAGUGGCGAAGGCGACUCUCUGGGCCAAUACUGACGCUGAGGUUCGAAAGCAUGGGUAGCGAACAGGAUUAGAUACCCUGGUAGUCCAUGCAGUAAACGAUGAGUGCUAGAUGUUGGGAAUUUAAAUUUCCAGUAUCGCAGCUAACGCCUUAAGCACUCCGCCU
RNAcentral lists this ribosomal RNA (782 nucleotides) under uncultured Alphaproteobacteria bacterium. RNAcentral's name for it is "bacterial SSU rRNA". It matches the Rfam family "Bacterial small subunit ribosomal RNA", at positions 46 to 874 of the family's 1533-position model. The record is from RNAcentral. Lineage: Bacteria; Pseudomonadati; Pseudomonadota; Alphaproteobacteria.